AGCUUUGCUGGGUACUCGAGUGGCGAACGGGUGAGUAACACGUGGGUGAUCUGCCCUGGACUCUGGGAUAAGCCUGGGAAACUGGGUCUAAUACCGGAUAGGACCACUGAUUGCAUGGUUGGUGGUGGAAAGCUUUUGCGGUUCAGGAUGGGCCCGCGGCCUAUCAGCUUGUUGGUGGGGUAAUGGCCUACCAAGNCGACGACGGGUAGCCGACCUGAGAGGGUGAUCGGCCACACUGGGACUGAGACACGGCCCAGACUCCUACGGGAGGCAGCAGUGGGGAAUAUUGCACAAUGGGCGCAAGCCUGAUGCAGCGACGCCGCGUGAGGGAUGACGGCCUUCGGGUUGUAAACCUCUUUCGCUAGGGACGAAGCGUAAGUGACGGUACCUGGAGAAGAAGCACCGGCCAACUACGUGCCAGCAGCCGCGGUAAUACGUAGGGUGCGAGCGUUGUCCGGAAUUACUGGGCGUAAAGAGCUCGUAGGCGGUUUGUCGCGUCGUCUGUGAAAUUCUGCAACUCAAUUGCAGGCGUGCAGGCGAUACGGGCAGACUUGAGUACUACAGGGGAGACUGGAAUUUCCUGGUGUAGCGGUGAAAUGCGCAGAUAUCAGGAGGAACACCGGUGGCGAAGGCGGGU
This 637-nucleotide ribosomal RNA is filed under the name Gordonia sihwensis. Its description in RNAcentral is "bacterial SSU rRNA". It matches the Rfam family "Bacterial small subunit ribosomal RNA", at positions 76 to 726 of the family's 1533-position model. Lineage: Bacteria; Bacillati; Actinomycetota; Actinomycetes; Mycobacteriales; Gordoniaceae. The record is from RNAcentral.